Non-coding RNA from Arachnomyces sp. PD_36, 87 nucleotides. The record is from the annotation of a GenBank genome assembly. NCBI's taxonomy places the organism in Eukaryota, Fungi, Ascomycota, Eurotiomycetes, Onygenales, Arachnomycetaceae.
GGUCCGUUAGCUCAAUGGUAGAGCGCUCACCUCCUACUGAAGGUUGAGCAUAGUGAGAAGUCGCGAGUUCGAAUCUCGUACGGAUCG